Molecule: ribosomal RNA, 439 nt
Filed under: uncultured soil bacterium
Lineage: Bacteria
Description: bacterial SSU rRNA
Rfam family: Bacterial small subunit ribosomal RNA
Source: RNAcentral
AGAUUGAACGCUGGCGGCAUGCCUUACACAUGCAAGUCGAACGCGAAAGUAGGGGGCAACCCCUGCGAGUAGAGUGGCGAACGGGUGAGUAAUACAUCGGAACGUAUCCAGUAGCGGGGGAUAACCUCUCGAAAGAGAGGCUAAUACCGCAUACGACCUACGGGUGAAAGAGGGGGAUCGCAAGACCUCUCACUAUUGGAGCGGCCGAUGUCGGAUUAGCUAGUUGGCGGGGUAAAAGCCCACCAAGGCUACGAUCCGUAGCUGGUCUGAGAGGACGACCAGCCACACUGGAACUGAGACACGGUCCAGACUCCUACGGGAGGCAGCAGUGGGAAUUUGGACAAUGGGCGAAGCCUGAUCCAGCCAUGCCGCGUGAGUGAAGAAGGCUUCGGUUAGUAACGUCGUCUUUCGGCGGGACGAAAAGUAUUACGCGCGUAAC